CACGUAGGGGGCGAGCGUUGCUCGGAAUCACUGGGCGUAAAGCGCACGUAGGCGGCUUCUUAAGUCAGGGGUGAAAUCCUGGAGCUCAACUCCAGAACUGCCCUUGAUACUGAGAGGCUCGAGUCCGGGAGAGGUGAGUGGAACUCCGAGUGUAGAGGUGAAAUUCGUAGAUAUUCGGAAGAACACCAGUGGCGAAGGCGGCUCACUGGCCCGGUACUGACGCUGAGGUGCGAAAGCGUGGGGAGCAAACAGG
RNAcentral lists this ribosomal RNA (253 nucleotides) under uncultured bacterium. RNAcentral describes it as "partial 16S ribosomal RNA". It matches the Rfam family "Bacterial small subunit ribosomal RNA", at positions 524 to 776 of the family's 1533-position model. The record is from RNAcentral.